UACGUAGGGUGCGAGCGUUGUCCGGAAUUACUGGGCGUAAAGCGCGUGUAGGCGGCUUUGCAAGUCGGGUGUGAAAGCCCUCAGCUUAACUGAGGAAGUGCGCCCGAAACUGCAGAGCUUGAGUACCGGAGAGGAUGGUGGAAUUCCCCAAGUAGAGGUGAAAUUCGUAGAUAUGGGGAGGAACACCGGUGGCGAAGGCGGGUCUCUGGGCAACAACUGACGCUGAGGAGCGAAAGUGUGGGGAGCGAACAGG
RNAcentral lists this ribosomal RNA (253 nucleotides) under uncultured bacterium. RNAcentral describes it as "partial 16S ribosomal RNA". It matches the Rfam family "Bacterial small subunit ribosomal RNA", at positions 524 to 776 of the family's 1533-position model. The record is from RNAcentral.